AAGCUCGUAGUUGGAUUUGUGGCACACCUGUGGUCCAAAUUGUUUUGGUACUGCGUGGUGUUGCCAUCGUUGGGUGGAACCUGUGGGGCAUUAGGUUGUUUUGCAGGGGAUAUCCAUCGUUUACUGUGAAAAAAUUAGAGUGUUCAAAGCAGGCUUACGCCGAUGAAUAUACUAGCAUGGAAUAAUGAAAUAGGACUUUGGUACUAUUUUGUUGGUUUGCGCACCAAAGUAAUGAUUAAUAGGGACAGUUGGGGGUAUUCGUAUUCCAUUGUCAGAGGUGAAAUUCUUGGAUUUUUGGAAGACGAACUACUGCGAAAGCAUUUACCAAGGAUGUUUUCAUUAAUCAAGAACGAAAGUUAGGGGAUCGAAGAUGAUUAGAUACCAUCGUAGUCUUA
This 395-nucleotide ribosomal RNA is filed under the name Pinnularia insolita. RNAcentral describes it as "SSU rRNA". It matches the Rfam family "Eukaryotic small subunit ribosomal RNA", at positions 624 to 1028 of the family's 1831-position model. The record is from RNAcentral. Lineage: Eukaryota; Bacillariophyta; Bacillariophyceae; Sellaphorales; Pinnulariaceae.